RNAcentral lists this ribosomal RNA (372 nucleotides) under uncultured organism. RNAcentral describes it as "bacterial SSU rRNA". It matches the Rfam family "Bacterial small subunit ribosomal RNA", at positions 526 to 896 of the family's 1533-position model. The record is from RNAcentral.
CAGAGGUCUCAAGCGUUGUUCGGAUUCAUUGGGCGUAAAGGGUGCGUAGGUGGCGCUGUAAGUCGGGUGUGAAAUUUCGGAGCUUAACUCCGAAACUGCAUUCGAUACUGCGGUGCUUGAGGACUGGAGAGGAGACUGGAAUUCAUGGUGUAGCAGUGAAAUGCGUAGAGAUCAUGAGGAAGACCAGUGGCGAAGGCGGGUCUCUGGACAGUUCCUGACACUGAGGCACGAAGGCCAGGGGAGCAAACGGGAUUAGAUACCCCGGUAGUCCUGGCAGUAAACGGUGCACGUUUGGUGUGGGAGGAUUCGACCCCUUCCGCGCCGGAGCUAACGCGUUAAACGUGCCGCCUGGGGAGUACGGUCGCAAGAUUA